UUCAUUCUUUCCCCAAACGCGUAUCCGCUCUCAAUCUCUCUUCUCUCAAUCUCUCGACGCUCCUCACCUCACGUUACCUCACAUUCCUCUCAGCGAAACCCUCUCUCCAUCGCGCCUCUCUCACAAACUCCAACCAAAAUUGUUCUCUCAAUCGUACCUCUCUCACUCAAUCGAUAUCUCCUACGCAAAGGCGGAAAAGAAAGAAAGGUUUAAAAGGAAAGAAUCCAAGGCGAAUGCUGACCUUUGGCGGUGAUUCGGCGAUGGCAGCGAGCUUGCAAUGGGCUCUCUUUGUUGGGUUUCAAAGUUCUCCGCCGUUGAUUGCAACCAGCUAGGGUUUCAAUUGGUGUUUUUUUGUGUUCAAAGGAGUAUCCUUGCGAAUUACUUUUGAUCUACUCAGAAACGAAUUGCCCUGUUUAAUGCUAAAACCGAAAAUGAUAUUCUGGGCUCGCUGCUUUCUUCUUCAUUUCUGUCUUAACUCUGUUUUGGGUAAUCUUCUGAACUUUACUGCCUUGACUAAUUACUUUGUGUUUUUUUCUCUUUUUUUUUUUUUUUACCGCAGUGAAGAUUCUCUUGUAACCUUGAGGUUGUGGAUGCUGCAUUUGAGGAUGAGGAUGAACAUGAAGCUCAACAUAUGCCUGCUGGUAUUGAUUCUGGUCCAGGGUAUUUGCUGCAAGUUGUUUCACGUUUUGACUUGGCUCUAAACUUGGUCGGUCCAUAGUACUUGGUGCACCUGGAAGAGACACCGAGCCACUGCCAACAAUAGCAUCCUCUGAACUAUCCUUGCAAUGUUUUGAAGCUGUUUCUAACUUUAGAAUCCAAUGUAAUAGAGGUAGACGUGUUUAAAUUAUCGGCCAUCCUGUCACAUUCUGUGAUGUAACUUGCAGAUCCACCCUGCCCUUGCUGUCUAGUCUCUAAAGUUACAUCCUCAGUGUUUAACUAUGUAACACUAACACCCUGUUUGAGUUGAUUAAAUUCUGUCCCACCGUCACUAACAUUUUUACAUCCCUGAAGAGUUGAAACGGUCUGUCUUAAUUGUUUAUCCUCUUGGGAUAAUUCAUCUACCUUAGCACUAUUAUGAUUGUUCAAACUAACGGCUUGAGUAACAGGUCCUCCAACUGAAACACAAGCAGACACUUGUCUAGAACAAAUGGUCUUUUCCUCAAGUGACACAGAAGGCAGGCUCUCACUGGCAGCUGAUAAUGUGCCUGAAGCUGCUGCUGAUAAAUCUUUACAGGCAAUUGCUGCAGAAUGUGUUGUAGGUGCUUUAGUUCUGUUUGGUUGCUGGGCUGAUUUUGCCAAUGACAAUGCUCAGAUACGAUACUUGAUACUUUCCAGCCUUGUUUCUCCUCAUGAUUGUGAGGUAAAGGCAUCAUUGUUUGCUGCCGGAUGCUUUUGUGAAAUAUCCGAUGAUUUUGCAUGUAUUACAUUGGAGAUCCUGUUUAACAUUAUGAAUUCACCCGCAGCAUCCUUGCCUAUAAAAUUGGCUGCAGCAAGAAUAUUUGCAAAAUUCAAGUGCUCAUAUUCAGUUGCAAAGAAAGCAUAUAAGAUAGGUUUGGAGCUAAUAUCAAAUUCUUUAAAUGAAGAUAUUCUUGUUAUCAUGCUAUUCUCAAUUUCAAAGUUGGCAUCCAUUUCUACACUUCUUACCUCCAAUCUUCAACUGCAUCGUCUGGUACUGGAUUUGAAAGAUGCACCUCUCGAUAUACAAAAGCAAAUGCAACUUCAUUAUGAGGAGGAGCAAAAAAUGAAAUAAUAUCACCAUGGCAGACUUUGACAGCAGCACUAUUCUUUUUCAACUUCUCCCAGUUAAGAAUUUGAAUCAAUCUGGAAACGCACAUUUUCUACCAACCGUCCAAGGCAGUUCUCAUCAGCAGGUUAGGCGUUGCAGCAGGUUGGUAUAGCAGGGCAAAUGCAGCAUGAUGGAAGUUAAUUGGCAAAGCAAGAUUCCAAAGGUUCAAGGUGUGACCAUGUUGACAUUAAAGUGAAGAAGCCAAGCAAAAGUGGUUAAACCAAAGAUCACAUGGACAUGGAUAAUGUCAUGAGAGUUAGGACUAGUCAUUUAGUGAUUAAGGAUGACCAAUGGCAUAGGGUUGACUUUGGUCAAAGUUGACCAAAAAGUCAACUGUUGACCAAAGUCAACAAUUGGUUAAAAUUCAAUUUUAUUUGCAUUUUUCUUGUAAAUGGACAAAUGAUUGAUGAUUGUGGUAAAAAUUAGGGCUUUUGGAUUUUGGAUUGACUUUGGUCAAUGUUGACCAAAAAGUCAACUGUUGACCAAAGUCAACAAUUG
Molecule: RNA transcript, 2284 nt
Organism: Lathyrus oleraceus (garden pea)
Lineage: Eukaryota; Viridiplantae; Streptophyta; Magnoliopsida; Fabales; Fabaceae
Exons: 8
Source: RefSeq, a predicted model, not a curated record